Cloeon dipterum is the source of this 1009-nucleotide long non-coding RNA. RefSeq lists it as uncharacterized. Lineage: Eukaryota; Metazoa; Arthropoda; Insecta; Ephemeroptera; Baetidae. The transcript has 5 exons. The record is from RefSeq and is a predicted model, not a curated record.
AAACAGGAAGACGAUCCGACAGUACUAGAUUUUUCUGCGCCACACUAAACCUAGCAGAUAAAUCAUAUGCGAUGAUGUGACUGCAACGUUUGACUUGCUGAUCUACUCAAUAGGAGAAGCGUGUCGGACCAAAAUGUCUGCCCUUUUUUCAAAAAACAUUACUAUUCUCGUUUUGGUGCUUCUUUCGCUAAUGAUUUACAUCGACGGAAAAGGCAAGAAAGAUACGAGGAAAAGUUCAUCCAAUAAAAUGUCCCGGCGAUACAUAAUUAAAUGCUGUGGCAAAAAUUCCUGCAUAAACCAAGUGUCCAAGAAAAAGUCUACAAAAUUUAACAUAACACUUAGUCCAACAUCAAAUUUACUCUCAACUACAAACAGCGACAAACACGGUCUGAUUGAUGAGAACAGAGAUCGAUCUAAAAAUUCUUAUCCCUCGGAAGAAAUCACCACUCCAGAAAUAAAGGGUUUGACACAAAUCGAACCAGGAGGAUCGGAAAUGCAUGGCCCUGACGCGUUGUCAAAUGAUGGUUUCGGAUCCUCUGGCCAGAUAACGAGUGAUCCAGAUUCGUCAAGCCAGAUAUCCAGCAGAGCUGAUUUUUCUACUCGGCUACUGAGUAAAUAUCCUGAGACAUCGGCUGAUCUCUCAACACAGUCCUUCAAUUCUGUACCAAAUACUUCAACAGAAUUAAAAACUACCACAAAAUUUGCUAAUGAGCCAUCCAAUUUUACGCAAGCAACUCCUUCAAUUGCACAAACCACCACCACAGGGCCGACUCAAACAGAGCUAUCUACAGGUUGGAAAAAUGUCACUAGUUCCACAACAUCAAGAAAGAAUUCGAGUACAAUCGCACAAAUUGACUCAACAACGGACGCGCAAGACAGUUUGGAUAAUUCUGCAAUUUCAAAUGAAUCCGUCAGUGAUAUGGCCACUUUCCCUGAUGAGCCGACAGAAGUAACAACUCCAGAAACGACAGAAGCUCCCACCACGGAGCCACCAAUGGAACUACUACAG